GUCAUGAAAACUUUUGCUAGAAUAAAAAUUGUACGAAGAAAACAAAAAAACAAAAAUCACAGCACAUUUUCAAAUAAAAGGAAUAAGAAUUAAGAUAACAGCUUAUUAAACGCAAGUCUGUAAAAAUAUGUCUUCAAUUGUUUUUUAAAACACUGAACAGAUUUAGAGUGACGAAUUUGUACAGGUAGAUUGUUCCAUAGGGUAGCGGCAGCAC
Molecule: long non-coding RNA, 214 nt
Filed under: Mytilus galloprovincialis (Mediterranean mussel)
Lineage: Eukaryota; Metazoa; Mollusca; Bivalvia; Mytilida; Mytilidae
Source: RNAcentral